RNAcentral lists this ribosomal RNA (454 nucleotides) under uncultured Alkaliflexus sp. RNAcentral's name for it is "partial 16S ribosomal RNA". It matches the Rfam family "Bacterial small subunit ribosomal RNA", at positions 341 to 792 of the family's 1533-position model. Lineage: Bacteria; Pseudomonadati; Bacteroidota; Bacteroidia; Marinilabiliales; Marinilabiliaceae. The record is from RNAcentral.
ACGGGAGGCAGCAGUGAGGAAUAUUGGUCAAUGGGCGGAAGCCUGAACCAGCCAUCUCGCGUGCAGGACUACGGCCCUACGGGUCUUAAACUGCUUUUAUGGGGGGAUAAAGUCGGGCAUUCGUGUCCGUUUGCAGGUACCCCAUGAAUAAGGAUCGGCUAACUCCGUGCCAGCAGCCGCGGUAAUACGGAGGAUCCGAGCGUUAUCCGGAUUUAUUGGGUUUAAAGGGUGCGUAGGCGGACUGUUAAGUCAGCGGUGAAAUACCACGGCUCAACCGUGGGGCUGCCGUUGAUACUGGCGGUCUGGAGUACGAUCGGCGCCGGCGGAAUGUGUCAUGUAGCGGUGAAAUGCAUAGAUAUGACACAGAACACCGAUCGCGAAGGCAGCUGGCGAGAACGAUACUGACGCUGAGGCACGAAGGUGCGGGGAUCAAACAGGAUUAGAUACCCUGGUA